CGGUGUUUAACUGGCGUGAUGUGGGACGUCCUACCGGUGGGCUUAGCCUCGCGAGGGGCGGCCCAACUAAUAUCCCGUCGCGGUGCUCUUUACUGAGUGUCGAGUCGGGCCGGUACGUUUACUUUGAACAAAUUAGAGUGCUUAAAGCAGGCUAUCCUCGCCUGAAUACUGCGUGCAUGGAAUAAUGGAAUAGGACCUCGGUUCUAUUUUGUUGGUUUUCAGAACCCCGAGGUAAUGAUUAAUAGGGACAGAUGGGGGCAUUCGUAUUGCGACGUUAGAGGUGAAAUUCUUGGAUCGUCGCAAGACGGACAGAAGCGAAAGCAUUUGCCAAAAAUGUUUUCAUUAAUCAAGAACGAAAGUUAGAGGUUCGAAGGCGAUCAGAUACCGCCCUAGUUCUAACCAUAAACGAUGCCAGCUAGCGAUCCGCCGAAGUUCCUCCGAUGACUCGGCGGGCAGCUUCCGGGAAACCAAAGCUUUUGGGUUCCGGGGGAAGUAUGGUUGCAAAGCUGAAACUUAAAGGAAUUGACGGAAGGGCACCACCAGGAGUGGAGCCUGCGGCUUAAUUUGACUCAACACGGGAAACCUCACCAGGCCCAGACACCGGAAGGAUUGACAGAUUGAUAGCUCUUUCUUGAUUCGGUGGGUGGUGGUGCAUGGCCGUUCUUAGUUGGUGGAGCGAUUUGUCUGGUUAAUUCCGAUAACGAACGAGACUCUAGCCUGCUAAAUAGGCGUACCUUAUGGUAUCGCGAAGGCCCCCGGCUUCGGCCGGUGGGUUUUUACUACCAACGUACAAACAAAUCUUUUUAGAGGGACAGGCGG
Molecule: ribosomal RNA, 819 nt
Filed under: uncultured eukaryote
Lineage: Eukaryota
Description: SSU rRNA
Rfam family: Eukaryotic small subunit ribosomal RNA
Source: RNAcentral